UACGUAGGGGGCGAGCGUUGUCCGGAUUUAUUGGGCGUAAAGCGUGCGUAGGCGGCUGUGUAAGUCGGUUGUGAAACCCCGGGGCUCAACCCCGAAACUGCAUCCGAUACUGCGUGGCUAGAGGUAGGUAGGGGAGAGCGGAAUUCCUGGUGUAGCGGUGAAAUGCGCAGAUAUCAGGAAGAACACCGGUGGCGAAGGCGGAUCUCUGGGCCGUACCUGACGCUCAGGCACGAAAGCGAGGGGAGCGAACAGG
This 253-nucleotide ribosomal RNA is filed under the name uncultured bacterium. RNAcentral's name for it is "partial 16S ribosomal RNA". It matches the Rfam family "Bacterial small subunit ribosomal RNA", at positions 524 to 776 of the family's 1533-position model. The record is from RNAcentral.